RNAcentral lists this ribosomal RNA (415 nucleotides) under uncultured prokaryote. RNAcentral's name for it is "bacterial SSU rRNA". It matches the Rfam family "Bacterial small subunit ribosomal RNA", at positions 505 to 918 of the family's 1533-position model. The record is from RNAcentral.
GUGUCAGCCGCCGCGGUAAUACAGAGACUGCAAGCGUUAUUCGGAUUCACUGGGCGUAAAGGGUGCGCAGGCGGCCAAAUGUGUGAGGCGUGAAAGCCCGGGGCUUAACCCCGGAAUUGCACCUCGAACUAUUUGGCUAGAGCAUUGGAGAGGGUAGCAGAAUUCACGGUGUAGCAGUGAAAUGCGUAGAUAUCGUGAGGAAUACCAGAGGCGAAGGCGGCUACCUGGACAAUUGCUGACGCUCAGGCACGAAAGCGUGGGGAGCAAAAGGGAUUAGAUACCCCUGUAGUCCACGCCCUAAACGGUGCACACUAGGUCUUGGCGGAUUCGACCCCACCAGGGCCCAAGCUAACGCGUUAAGUGUGCCGCCUGAGGACUACGGUCGCAAGACUAAAACUCAAAGGAAUUGACGGGG